CCUACGGGGGGCAGCAGUGGGGAAUAUUGGACAAUGGGCGCAAGCCUGAUCCAGCCAUGCCGCGUGUGUGAAGAAGGCCUUCGGGUUGUAAAGCACUUUCAGCGAGGAGGAAGGGUGGGGGGUUAAUAGCACAUUAAUUUUGACGUUACUCGCAGAAGAAGCACCGGCUAACUCCGUGCCAGCAGCCGCGGUAAUACGGAGGGUGCAAGCGUUAAUCGGAAUUACUGGGCGUAAAGCGCACGUAGGCGGUUUUUUAAGUCAGAUGUGAAAGCCCCGGGCUCAACCUGGGAAUUGCAUUUGAAACUGGGGAACUAGAGUGUGUGAGAGGGGGGUAGAAUUCCAAGUGUAGCGGUGAAAUGCGUAGAGAUUUGGAGGAAUACCAGUGGCGAAGGCGGCCCCCUGGCACAAUACUGACGCUCAGGUGCGAAAGCGUGGGGAGCAAACAGGAUUAGAUACCCUUGUAGUC
This 466-nucleotide ribosomal RNA is filed under the name Megasphaera cerevisiae. RNAcentral's name for it is "bacterial SSU rRNA". It matches the Rfam family "Bacterial small subunit ribosomal RNA", at positions 338 to 795 of the family's 1533-position model. The record is from RNAcentral. Lineage: Bacteria; Bacillati; Bacillota; Negativicutes; Veillonellales; Veillonellaceae.